CAUCAUGCUGUGGAUGUUUGGCCAGGACGUGUCGUUUCAUUACUAAGCACUUCCCCGCACAAAACACAUUGUGGGCGCUCUUCGUUAUAAGUUUCUAUGAAAGUGAAAGUCAUAGCUGUAUAUGCAUUUCAUGACAAUUGAGCUCAGUCAGAACUUGUGGCUAGCAUGAAUCCAUUUGAUGACAGCGGUGAGUGAUGGCGAGUGAGAAUGACAAGUCAGUGGCAGACAGCGCAUCAUCUGCUGCUGAACGACAGCGCUGCAUCGCCUGUGUCGCGGAGUAAUCUUCAAGAAAACUGCAGAAAAAAAGAUCAGCAUCAGUAGAACAAGCCCGACUCUCCUCCUCCACCAGUCAUACAAGGAGAAUGGUCUAAUGCCUCCCAUCAAAAAGAGAGCUGGCCCAAGCAAGCACAGGUUACUCCUGAAGCAUGAGGACUUGCAGCGAGUUGUGAACAUCAACAACUACGCAGAGGAUAAUGCAAUAGGAUUACAAGGACGCCACCCAGGACACAAACACUUUGGAGGAAAGCUGCUGCCAUCCCAUGUGACAAAAGCAGGAGUGUGGCUUCUCUACAACACAUUUUAAUUAUUUAAUUGACCUCCAACAUGAUUGGCACUACUUUUAUUGAUCUCACAUUAUUUCUGUAUUUUCCAGAGGUACGUGUAGUCGGGCUGUGUGUUAGCAUUUUAAUAAUCCAGUUUCCAAUAUGAUGCUUCUGUAUGCAGUGCUGCUGCACUGCACAUUUGUAAGUGCACUAUCCUUCUGACCCUAUGCAGCCAGGUCCCACCUACUUUUUAACUCCUCGCAAGUGUGGCUUGUUUGGUGUCUGCUGUGAAGGUAUACCACAAGUCAACUAUUUGAUUGAUGAAGGCAUGUCAUCCAGCAAAGGCACCAGCGCAGUCAUCAACUAUAUGCACCAUUUCUUCUCCAACUACGGAGUUGGGAAAACACGUGUGGACUUGAAUUGUGAUAACUACAGUGGCCAAAACAAGAACAAGUUUGUGCUCUGGUAUUGUGCCUGGUGGACCAUGCACAAGCUACACCACAGUCUGGACCUUCACCUCCUGAUUACAGGCCACACCAAGCUUCGGCCUCAUCAAGCAGCGCUUUAGAAAGACCAGAGUGAACACUUUGAUGAGAUUGCUGGUGUUGUGAAGGUCAACACUGUGAUAGGGGUCAACAUCCCACAGCUGGUCGGACUGGAGGAUGGUAUGGUGCUGGUGGAAAGCUAUGGCUGGCAACAACACCUGACUCCUUCCUCCCAUUGAUGGUCUGCCUGUACAAGCACCACCUGGACUGGACACAGCUAGACAAACUUCUAUUUUUUAGAAUAUCAAGGAGCUUUGAGAUGAAGAGGGUAUGGACAUCACAUGCCCUGCACCAAAGUCAAGGGCAGGACAGAAACAGGUUCUCCGAAUAUAGAUUCCCUUGAUCGUGCGUGGUUCGGACGGACCAGUCAUCAGCACUUUCUGCAGUGCCUCAAUUCAAAUGACUCUCUCCUAACACACACGCCAUACGUUGCUGCUACUGCUGCUGAUCAGUCACUUUACCCCUGAUUGUAUGCAUAUCAUCUAUCUACCUCAUCUAUCACUGACAUUUUUAUUGAUAUUGUUAUUGUACAUACUGUAUAUUAUUUUAUUUAUAUUGACAUAAUCUAUUUCUGAUAUUGCUACUAUGCAAGUAACCAUUUGGCCCUACCAUUUACACUUACUGUAGAGACCAUCCACUUAGCAAGUUGUGGCUGCGGGUUGUAGCAUUUCUUUCACAUGACCCAUCAAUUUAGACAAGUGUGUCUGGGUAAGCGUCAUCUAAUAUUUAUACAAUUUUUAUCUGGGCACUUUCUGUUUACCAAUAAAAAAACAUUUUCGUAUGCUACUA
Molecule: long non-coding RNA, 1876 nt
Organism: Oncorhynchus mykiss (rainbow trout)
Lineage: Eukaryota; Metazoa; Chordata; Actinopteri; Salmoniformes; Salmonidae
Source: RefSeq, a predicted model, not a curated record